GUGCUCACUUUGGCAGCACACACAUUAAAAUUGGAACGACACAGAGAAGGUGAGCAUGGCCCCUGCUCAAGGAUGACACACACGUUUGUGAAGUGUUGCAUGUUUUA
Small nuclear RNA from Panthera leo (lion), 107 nucleotides. The record is from Ensembl. NCBI's taxonomy places the organism in Eukaryota, Metazoa, Chordata, Mammalia, Carnivora, Felidae.